UUGACCUUGUAAGGCCUU
This 18-nucleotide small nuclear RNA is filed under the name Arabidopsis thaliana (thale cress). RNAcentral describes it as "snRNA_03290". The record is from RNAcentral. Lineage: Eukaryota; Viridiplantae; Streptophyta; Magnoliopsida; Brassicales; Brassicaceae.